RNAcentral lists this ribosomal RNA (497 nucleotides) under uncultured bacterium. RNAcentral's name for it is "partial 16S ribosomal RNA". It matches the Rfam family "Bacterial small subunit ribosomal RNA", at positions 28 to 507 of the family's 1533-position model. The record is from RNAcentral.
GAUGAACGCUGGCGGCGUGCCUAAUACAUGCAAGUCGAGCGAACAGACGAGGAGCUUGCUCCUCUGACGUUAGCGGCGGACGGGUGAGUAACACGUGGAUAACCUACCUAUCAGACUGGGAUAACUUCGGGAAACCGGAGCUAAUACCGGAUAAUAUAUUGAACCGCAUGGUUCCAUAGUGUAAGACGGUUUUGCUGUCACUUAUAGAUGGAUCCGCGCCGCAUUAGCUCGUUGGUAAGGUAACGGCUUACCAAGGCAACGAUGCGUAGCCGACCUGAGAGGGUGAUCGGCCACACUGGAACUGAGACACGGUCCAGACGCCUACGGGAGGCAGUAGUAGGGAAGCUUCCGCAAUGGGCGAAAGCCUGACGGAGCAACGCCGCUUGAGUGAAGAAGGUCUUCGGAUCGUAAAACUCGGUUAUUAGAGAAGAACAAAUGGGUAAGUAACUAUGCGCGUCUUGACGGUACCUAAUCAGAAAGCCACGGCUAACUACGUG